Molecule: ribosomal RNA, 253 nt
Filed under: uncultured bacterium
Lineage: Bacteria
Description: partial 16S ribosomal RNA
Rfam family: Bacterial small subunit ribosomal RNA
Source: RNAcentral
UACGUAGGGGGCUAGCGUUGUCCGGAAUCAUUGGGCGUAAAGCGCGCGUAGGCGGCCAGAUAAGUCCGGUGUGAAAGUCACAGGCUCAACCUGUGAAUGCCGCUGGAAACUGUCUGGCUAGAGUCCGGAAGGGGCGAGUGGAAUUCCCAGUGUAGAGGUGAAAUUCGUAGAUAUUGGGAAGAACACCGGUGGCGAAGGCGGCGACCUGGUCCUUGACUGACGCUGAGGCGCGAAAGCGUGGGGAGCAAACCGG